This 510-nucleotide ribosomal RNA is filed under the name uncultured bacterium. Its description in RNAcentral is "partial 16S ribosomal RNA". It matches the Rfam family "Bacterial small subunit ribosomal RNA", at positions 28 to 507 of the family's 1533-position model. The record is from RNAcentral.
GACGAACGCUGGCGGCGUGCUUAACACAUGCAAGUCGAACGAAGAGCGAUGGAAGCUUGCUUCUAUCAAUCUUAGUGGCGAACGGGUGAGUAACGCGUAAUCAACCUGCCCUUCAGAGGGGGACAACAGUUGGAAACGACUGCUAAUACCGCAUACGAUCUAAUCUCGGCAUCGAGGAUAGAUGAACGGUGGCCUCUACAUGUAAGCUAUCACUGAAGGAGGGGAUUGCGUCUGAUUAGCUAGGUGGAGGGGUAACGGCCCACCAAGGCGAUGAUCAGUAGCCGGUCUGAGAGGAUGAACGGCCACAUUGGGGCUGAGACACGGCCCAGACUCCUACGGGAGGCAGCAGUGGGGAAUCUUCCGCAAUGGACGAAAGUCUGACGGAGCAACGCCGCGUGAGUGAUGACGGCCUUCGGGUUGUAAAGCUCUGUUAAUCGGGACGAAAGGCCUUCUUGCGAACAGUUAGAAGGAUUGACGGUACCGGAAUAGAAAGCCACGGCUAACUACGUG